AAAAAAAAUCAUUCCCGCGGAUUUGAACGUUACUACAACCACUCGUUUUCUUUCUCUUUCUGUCAUCGUCCCAAAUUCUCGUUUGCUUCUUUCCCCUUUCAGAUAACAACAACAAUGGCGCACAGACUCUCACUGCAUUUCAAUCAUACUUCUCUCCUUCAAAACCGCAAACUCAUUUCACACCCCAACCGCCACUUACCUCGUGUUUCCCUGGCCCCUUCCCUUCUCAAGAACGCCACUAUCCAUUCAACUAACCAAUGCAUUAUAUCGUCGAAGCACCGUCACUUGGGACUAACAGCUUGCGUAGUUCAAAAUCACAACGUCAUAGAUGAAUCUGAAGACAUGGAACAAAUAAGCGAGGGUUUUGAUAUGGACAGAGAUGAAGAAGAAGUGAAUGUGCUGGUUGAGCAGAGUAUAUGGAUUCAGAUAAAGGAAAUUGUUUUGUUUACUGGACCGGCAAUUGGACUUUGGUUGUGUGGACCGUUGAUGAGUCUCAUCGAUACUGCAGUUGUUGGUCAAGGAAGUUCAAUUGAACUAGCUGCUUUAGGUCCUGCUACUGUUUUUUGCGAUUAUUUGGGCUACUCUUUCAUGUUUCUGUCGAUUGCUACUUCAAAUAUGGUUGCUACUGCACUUGCUAAACAGGAUAGGGAGGAAGUGCAGCAUCACAUAUCCGUCUUGCUUUUUAUUGGUUUAUCAUGUGGCUUGGCGAUGCUUUUGUUCACGAGGUUAUUUGGUGCAACAAUGCUUGCAGCUUUUACUGGACAGAAGAAUGUUCAUAUAGUACCAGCAGCUAAUACUUAUGUCCAGAUUCGAGGGUUGGCAUGGCCUUGUUUACUUGUUGGAUCAGUUUCUCAGAGUGCAAGUCUUGGUAUGAAAGAUUCUUGGGGACCCUUGAAGGCUUUGGCGGUUGCUAGUAUUAUAAAUGGAAUUGGUGAUAUAAUUCUGUGCAGAUAUUUAGGCUAUGGUAUUGCUGGGGCUGCAUGGGCUACAUUGGCAUCACAAGUUGUUGCUGCGUAUAUGAUGAGCCAAACUCUAAACGAGAAGGGAUACAAUGCAUUUGCCUUCUCCAUUCCUUCAGGGAAGGAGUUUCUGUCAAUAUUUAGCCUUGCUGCUCCUGUAUUUGUGACGUUGAUGUUAAAGGUGGCUUUCUACUCGCUAAUUAUAUAUUUUGCUACAUCAAUGGGUACACAUAAAAUGGCUGCUCAUCAAGUCAUGCUUCAGAUCUACAUGUUAUGUGCAAUAUGUGGUGAACCUCUCUCCCAAACUGCUCAAUCAUUUAUGCCUGAGUUGAUGUAUGGAGUAAAUCGGAGUUUGGCAAAGGCUCGGUCACUGCUAAGUUCUCUUGUAACUAUUGGAGCUGUAUUUGGGUUGCUUUUGGGGAUUGUUGGGACAUUUGUUCCUUGGUUAUUCCCCUACAUUUUUACACCCGAUCAGAUGGUCAUCAAGGAGAUGCAUAAGAUUCUGAUUCCAUACUUUUUAGCGCUAGUGGUGACACCUGCAACUGUCGGCCUAGAGGGAACAUUGCUGGCUGGAAGGGAUCUAAGAUUUAUAAGUUUGUCAAUGAGUGGAUGCUUUUGUUUGAAUGGUCUUGUAUUACUGAUCCUUUGUAGAUAUGGUUUGCUAGGCUGCUGGUUUGCCCUUGCUGGAUUUCAAUGGACUCGAUUUUCAAUGGCCCUUCUGCGCCUUCUAUCUCCCAAAGGCAUUUUAUACUCGGAAGAUACAAGUCAGUAUGAGCUGCAAAAGUUGAAGACCGCAUAGUAUUGGAGCUCCGUUUAGUUCAUGAUACAUUAUACAAAUAGAAGCAUGUUGUAUGUUGCUUGCAAAUCUUGAUAAAUAUGUUACAAGAUAGGCAUCCAUUUCGAUGCCGAUACAAUUCAGUGCAGGGAAACUACUGGUGCUGAGUUGUAUCGGAAACCAAGUGGGGAAAUGGGGAUGUGAUGUGGGGAAAUUGAAUCCACCGCCACCGCCACCGCACUGAAAGUAUCUUCUUUGUGAUCAAGUGAGGGGCUACUGGGGUAAAGCUCCAGAUUUUCGUUCAAGAAAAAGAGCUUUGGGCAUCGAUGGAAUUGAUUCUGCUCUGAAAAAGGUGCACAGGAUGCACAUGUUAAAUAGAAAGUCAAAGAUGCACAAGUCAUGGGAUGGAUCAUAGGCUCUAUUGAUCCUAAUAUCGUUUUCAAUCUUCUACCUUUCAUCAAUCAGCUAAGAUGUGGGACUACUUGAUGAAAAUAUAUAGUCAAAACAACGUUGUUUGUUGGUUCCAGCUUGAACAUGAAAUUGCAAUUGUUUAGCGGGAAAGUCUUUCCAUUCCUGAGUUUUAUUAUCAUUUUAUGAAUCUUUGGGCUAAAUACACAAAUAUUAUCUAUAGACAUUUGUCAACUGAAGGACACACACAACAGUGGAAGGCUGUUUCUCUUCCUGUGGCAUAUGUCCUACAAGUUCGGCCUCAGGGGAGAGACAUGUGUAUUGUCCAAUGUUUCUGUUGCAAUGAACAUGGACAAUAUGCUUCCAACUGUCUAAAACGUUCAACAAUUACUGCAAAAAGGAUCGUCAUGUCAUUAAAAACACCCAACCAAGCCACCGAGGAAAACAACAACAACCUUCAUUACCUCUGUUGGUUCUUCUCCAACUCUUAUCUCUGUAUAACCUGCAUUCCACAACUACAAGUUUGAACCCGGAAAUGGUUCAACAAAUGAUCAUUUCAUCUUUUUCUGCUUUGGGUCUUUCGGGUCACCUUUCUUUCCUUAGCUCUCCUUGGUAUUUUGACUCUUGGCAUCCAAUCAUAUGACCAAAGAUGUUGUCCUUACCAAUGUUACAAAUUACUUUGGUGAUCUUCUAAUACAUACUGCUGAUGGCAACAAUUUGUCUAUCAAAGCAGUUGAUGGAUCAACAACAAGGGAAGACGAUCGUGAAAGAGCCUUAACGUGAAUGUCUUUUUGCGUUUUAAGGCUAAACCAUUUUUUGCAUUCGAAUUUAUGUGCCUAUGUUUAGACUCAAUUUUCAUCUAAAAUUUAUAUUUUAGGAUCUGAUAAUGGGGGAAUAGACAUCUGUUAUAUUUCAAGAAUUCUUGGAAAUAAAUGGUAUAAUAUCCCAAUGCUCGUGCCCUUCUACACACACAAACAGAACAGAGGAGUUGAAAGAAAAAAUUGUCAUCUACCUGAUGUUGUUUGUACCUUGAUGUUGGUUUCCCUUAUACUCACUUGAUUAUGGUGUGAAAUCGUCUCCACCGUUAUCCAUUAUAUAAUCGUCUCCUUUCUCAAGCCUUGAACAAUGAUUCCCCAUUUUAAAGAUUA
Lathyrus oleraceus (garden pea) is the source of this 3290-nucleotide RNA transcript. It is a transcript of the gene named protein DETOXIFICATION 46, chloroplastic, with no coding region annotated. The transcript has 16 exons. NCBI's taxonomy places the organism in Eukaryota, Viridiplantae, Streptophyta, Magnoliopsida, Fabales, Fabaceae. The record is from RefSeq and is a predicted model, not a curated record.